This 492-nucleotide ribosomal RNA is filed under the name uncultured bacterium. RNAcentral describes it as "partial 16S ribosomal RNA". It matches the Rfam family "Bacterial small subunit ribosomal RNA", at positions 29 to 507 of the family's 1533-position model. The record is from RNAcentral.
AGUGAACGCUGGCGGUAGGCCUAACACAUGCAAGUCGAACGGCAGCACAGUAAGAGCUUGCUCUUACGGGUGGCGAGUGGCGGACGGGUGAGGAAUACAUCGGAAUCUACUUUUUCGUGGGGGAUAACGUAGGGAAACUUACGCUAAUACCGCAUACGACCUACGGGUGAAAGCAGGGGAUCUUCGGACCUUGCGCGAUUGAAUGAGCCGAUGUCGGAUUAGCUAGUUGGCGGGGUAAAGGCCCACCAAGGCGACGAUCCGUAGCUGGUCUGAGAGGAUGAUCGGCCACACUGGAACUGGGACACGGUCCAGACUCCUGCGGGAGGCAGCAGUGGGGAAUAUUGGACAAUGGGCGCAAACCUGAUCCAGCCAUACCGCGUGGGUGAAGAAGGCCUUCGGGUUGUAAAGCCCUUUUGUUGGGAAAGAAAAGCAGCAGGUUAAUACCCCGCUGUUCUGACGGUACCCAAAGAAUAAGCACCGGCUAACUUCGUG